Molecule: ribosomal RNA, 425 nt
Filed under: uncultured bacterium
Lineage: Bacteria
Description: partial 16S ribosomal RNA
Rfam family: Bacterial small subunit ribosomal RNA
Source: RNAcentral
GUAGGGAAUAUUGGACAAUGGGCGAAAGCCUGAUCCAGCAAUGCCGCGUGAGUGAUGAAGGCCUUAGGGUUGUAAAGCUCUUUUACCAGGGAUGAUAAUGACAGUACCUGGAGAAUAAGCUCCGGCUAACUCCGUGCCAGCAGCCGCGGUAAUACGGAGGAAGCUAGCGUUGUUCGGAAUUACUGGGCGUAAAGCGCGCGUAGGCGGCGAUUUAAGUCAGAGGUGAAAGCCCGGGGCUCAACCCCGGAAUAGCCUUUGAGACUGGAUUGCUAGAAUCCUGGAGAGGUGAGUGGAAUUCCGAGUGUAGAGGUGAAAUUCGUAGAUAUUCGGAAGAACACCAGUGGCGAAGGCGGCUCACUGGACAGGUAUUGACGCUGAGGUGCGAAAGCGUGGGGAGCAAACAGGAUUAGAAACCCGGGUAGUCC